GACGAACGCUGGCGGCGUGCCUAACACAUGCAAGUCGAGCGGAGAUACAUUGAAGAGCAAUCAGAUAUGUAUCUUAGCGGCGGACGGGUGAGUAACGCGUGGGCAACCUGCCUCAUACUGGGGGAUAACACAGGGAAACUUGUGCUAAUACCGCAUAAUAUCAUUAUAGGGCAUCCUGUGAUGAUCAAAGGAGCAAUCCGGUGUGAGAUGGGCCCGCGUCCAAUUAGCUAGUUGGUGGGGUAACGGCCCACCAAGGCGACGAUUGGUAGCCGAACUGAGAGGUUGAUCGGCCACAUUGGGACUGAGACACGGCCCAGACUCCUACGGGAGGCAGCAGUGGGGAAUAUUGCGCAAUGGGGGAAACCCUGACGCAGCAACGCCGCGUGAAGGAUGAAGGUCUUCGGAUUGUAAACUUCUUUUGCAGGGGAAUAAAGGACGGUACGUGUACUGUUUUGUAUGUACCUUGCGAAUAAGGAUCGGCUAACUCCGUG
This 491-nucleotide ribosomal RNA is filed under the name uncultured bacterium. RNAcentral describes it as "bacterial SSU rRNA". It matches the Rfam family "Bacterial small subunit ribosomal RNA", at positions 28 to 507 of the family's 1533-position model. The record is from RNAcentral.